AAUCUCAGAGCUCGUUGCCUUCAAGCAUCCUACUUCCCGGACCACCACACGGGGGAAAACAUUGCAGCCGGCCUGAGAGAUGGGCUUGCUAGCUGGGAUCUACAGGAAGAAAACCACGUCAGCAUAACGAUGGACAACACAUCGAAUAUGGUGAUGGCAACAAAGCUAAAUGAGUAGACAAGACUCCAGUGUUUUGGGCACCGAUUACAUCUUGCCAUCGGACAUGCACUGAAAGAUGACAACGUCUCGAAGAGCUGUUCAUCACCCUAUUUAACUUCCCCUCAGUCCCUGCUUCCCUGCCAGAUGGUCAUCAGUAAUCCUUGUGUGAUAUCCUGCAUUCUUGUCUUGUCCCUGUUGCCGACCCUGCUACGAUUCCUUGACUCCCUGUUGCCUGAUUCCCUGUCGAACUUCACUGCUUGCUUUCUGUCUAUCUGGAUUUUGACCCUUUUUUUGGACUGACCACUGGUCUCUGCCAGAUCUGAUCAUUGUCUGCCUGAACCGUUUAACUUGGUGACUGGAUACCAAGCUGUCAAUUACUGGAUCCCUUUCCGAAUUCUAUUCCACAGCACUGCCUGGACCCUGUUGCCACUUCUGCCAUAAAGCUGCUUCCUCCCUGCCUCCACUCUUCCCGGUGCUGAAAUAAAGCUUUGUUUAAAACUUAUCAUCAUGUGUGGGCUGAAUUUCUGGGUCCUCCUGAGACAUCCAUUACACAUUUCCUGGAGCUUUAGAAAUAAGAGCUCAGGACUUUACAGAUGCUCUCUCUGGAGAGAAGUAUGUGAGCAUCUCCUACCGCAAACCAGUUCUUCACCUUGUCGUCACAUCAGUCCUGGCUGAAGAUCAAGAGGACACGGACCUGACUAGGUCAUUCAAAACCAAGGUCCUGGCAUACCUUAAUGACAAGUACAAUGACCCCAGGAGCAAGGAGCUUUUGGAUGUUGCAUCCUUCCUGGAUCCCGGGUUCAAAAUCCAGUUUAUCACCACAGACAACAAUCCUGCCAUUAAGACCCGACUCAAGACUGAAAUGCUGGAAUCAGCGAGGU
Molecule: long non-coding RNA, 1040 nt
Organism: Melanotaenia boesemani (Boeseman's rainbowfish)
Lineage: Eukaryota; Metazoa; Chordata; Actinopteri; Atheriniformes; Melanotaeniidae
Exons: 3
Source: RefSeq, a predicted model, not a curated record